CAGUAGCCACGGUAAUACGUAGGUGGCAAGCGUUGUCCGGAAUUAUUGGGCGUAAAGGGCUCGCAGGCGGUUUCUUAAGUCUGAUGUGAAAGCCCCCGGCUCAACCGGGGAGGGUCAUUGGAAACUGGGAAACUUGAGUGCAGAAGAGGAGAGUGGAAUUCCACGUGUAGCGGUGAAAUGCGUAGAGAUGUGGAGGAACACCAGUGGCGAAGGCGACUCUCUGGUCUGUAACUGACGCUGAGGAGCGAAAGCGUGGGGAGCGAACAGGAUUAGAUACCCCGGUAGUCCUGUCUCUUAUACA
This 301-nucleotide ribosomal RNA is filed under the name uncultured bacterium. RNAcentral describes it as "partial 16S ribosomal RNA". It matches the Rfam family "Bacterial small subunit ribosomal RNA", at positions 509 to 809 of the family's 1533-position model. The record is from RNAcentral.